UACGGGGGGGGCAAGCGUUGUUCGGAAUUACUGGGCGGAAAGGGCUCGUAGGCGGCCAACUAAGUCGGAUGUGAAAUCCCCAGGCUUAACCUGGGAACUGCAUCCGAUACUGGAUGGCUUGAAUUCGGGAGAGGGAUGCAGAAUUCCAGGUGUAGCGGUGAAAUGCGUAGAUAUCUGGAGGAAUACCGGUGGCGAAGGCGGCAUCCUGGACCGACAUUGACGCUGAGGAGCGAAAGCUAGGGGAGCAAACGGG
This 253-nucleotide ribosomal RNA is filed under the name uncultured bacterium. RNAcentral describes it as "partial 16S ribosomal RNA". It matches the Rfam family "Bacterial small subunit ribosomal RNA", at positions 524 to 776 of the family's 1533-position model. The record is from RNAcentral.